AUUUAAUUAACUUUUUUUUAGCAAAAUUAAUCAUUUUUAGUAUUUAUAAAAAAUUAAAUUUAAAAUCUGAUAGGAAUAAUUUUUAAAUCUAAACAAUUAAUUAUUGUACCUUUUGUAUCAGGAUUAAUUAAUUAAUAAAAUUAUUUAUAUUCUCGAAUUAAAAAUACUCAAUGUUAAGUUUAAUUUUAUGUUUCAUAAUAAUAAAUAACUUAAUAUUUGUAGUAAAAAGUUAAUCGUUUUUUAUAUAUAUCUAGUUUCUUUAGAUUAAAUCUAAUUUAGGUUUAUUUAUAAACUUAUGGUAUAAGGGAUAAUCUUUAUAUUUUUUUUAUAAUUUUAUAAAAUAAAUUUUUAUUAUAUUUUAUAUUUUUAUUGAAGUUUUUAAUAAAUUAAAAUUUUAAUUUAAUAUUUAAUUAUUAUUUAUAUUUUUAUAUAGAAUUUUUAUAAAAUAAUUWUAUAUUAUUAAUAAUGAUUAUAUUAGUAUUUAAUUAAAAUUAUUUUUAAUGAAUUCAACAAUUAUAAUUUUCAACUGUUUAUCAAAAACAUUUUCUUUAGUAAAAUUUAAAGAUAGGCUCUGCCCUAUGAUUAUUUAAAUGGCUGCAGUAUACUAACUGUGCAAAGGUAGCAUAAUAAUUAGUCUUUUAAUUGAAGGCUUGCAUGAAUGAGUUAAUGARAAAUUAAUUUUAUUAAUUUUAUUAAUUAAAUUUAAUUUUUUUGUUAAAAAGCUUAAUUUUAUUAUUGGGACGAUAAGACCCUACAGAACUUGAAUUAAUAAAUUUAAAUUUAUUAAUUUAAUAAUUUUUAAAAAAAAAUAAUUUUUUCUGGGGAAGAAAAUAAAUUUUAAAUUUUAUAUARAAUAUUUCAUUUAUUUAUGUUAAACAUAUUUAUAAUUUAUAAUUAUAAGUUAAAGUUACCUUAGGGAUAACAGCGUAAUUUAAGUGGGGAGUUCAUAUCUAUACUUAAGUUUGCGACCUCGAUGUUGAAUUAAAAUAUAAAUAAGAAGCAGCAUUUUUAUUGUAAAGUCUGUUCGACUUUUAAAAUUUUACAUGAUUUGAGUUCAAACCGGUGUAAGCCAGGUUGGUUUCUAUCUUUUAAUUAYUAUAUAUUUUAGUACGAAAGGACCAAAUAUAAUAUAAUUUAUAGYUAAAUUU
Molecule: ribosomal RNA, 1148 nt
Filed under: Jacobiasca formosana
Lineage: Eukaryota; Metazoa; Arthropoda; Insecta; Hemiptera; Cicadellidae
Description: 16S ribosomal RNA
Source: RNAcentral